Molecule: ribosomal RNA, 468 nt
Filed under: uncultured bacterium
Lineage: Bacteria
Description: partial 16S ribosomal RNA
Rfam family: Bacterial small subunit ribosomal RNA
Source: RNAcentral
GACGAACGCUGGCGGCGUGCUUAACACAUGCAAGUCGAACGGAAAGGCCCUGCUUUUGUGGGGUGCUCGAGUGGCGAACGGGUGAGUAACACGUGAGUAACCUGCCCUUGACUUUGGGAUAACUUCAGGAAACUGGGGCUAAUACCGGAUAGGAGCUCCUGCUGCAUGGUGGGGGUUGGAAAGUUUCGGCGGUUGGGGAUGGACUCGCGGCUUAUCAGCUUGUUGGUGGGGUAGUGGCUUACCAAGGCUUUGACGGGUAGCCGGCCUGAGAGGGUGACCGGCCACAUUGGGACUGAGGUACGGCCCAGGCUCCUACGGGAGGCAGCAGUGGGGAAUAUUGCACAAUGGGCGGAAGCCUGAUGCAGCAACGCCGCGUGCGGGAUGACGGCCUUCUGGUUGUAAACCGCUUUCGCCUGUGACGAAGCGUGAGUGACGGUAAUGGGUAAAGAAGCACCGGCUAACUACGUG